This 224-nucleotide long non-coding RNA is filed under the name Amborella trichopoda. RNAcentral's name for it is "long non-coding RNA (ATRI_LNC001799)". Lineage: Eukaryota; Viridiplantae; Streptophyta; Magnoliopsida; Amborellales; Amborellaceae. The record is from RNAcentral.
UGAAAAUUAGCUUCUCCAUUUCUUUGGCACUUGCUGAAUUGCUGAAUUUUAUCAAUUUCUAGGAUCGGCAGUUUUGGACCGUCCACCCGGGAUUGAGUAACUCGGCCAUGGCCUAGUGGGAAGGCAAGUUGGGUGUCCAACUCGCCCAACCCAAAAAACCAGCACAACACAUACAUGCAUGCACGCACACACACAUAUGUAGAGUACACAAUAUUAGAAAAUAU